CGCUCAGAGAUAGGCAUGCGUUCCAUUAGCUAGUUGGUGAGGUAACGGCUCACCAAGGCAACGAUGGAUAGGGGCGCUGAGAGGCGUAUCCCCCACACUGGGACUGAGACACGGCCCAGACUCCUACGGGAGGCAGCAGUGAGGAAUAAUGGUCAAUGGAGGCAACUCUGAACCUGCCAAGUCGCGUGAAGGAUGACGACCCUAUGGGUUGUAAACUUCUUUAGUAGGUGAGUAGAGAUAGGUACGAGUACCUACAGGCAAGUAGCCUAAGAAUAAGUAUCGGCUAACUCCGUGCCAGCAGCCGCGGUAAUACGGAGGAUACGAGCGUUAUCCGGAUUUAUUGGGUUUAAAGGGUGCGUAGGUGGCAGAUUAAGUCAGUGGUGAAAAGCUGUGGCUCAACCAUAGUCUUGCCGUUGAAACUGGKKWGCUUGAGUACAKUUGAUGUAGGCGGAAUGCGUAGUGUAGCGGUGAAAUGCAUAGAUAUUACGCAGAACUCCGAUUGCGAAGGCAGCUUACAAAAUUGCAACUGACACUGAUGCACGAAAGCGUGGGUAUCAAACAGGAUUAGAUACCCUGGUAGUCCACGCCGUAAACUAUGAUUACUCAGAGUAUGCGAUAUAAUGUAUGCUCUCAAGCGAAAGCAUUAAGUAAUCCACCCUGGGGAGUACGUCGGCAACGAUGAAACUCAAAGGAAUUGACGGGGGCCCGCACAAGCGGAGGAACAUGUGGUUUAAUUCGAUGAUACGCGAGGAACCUUACCUGGGAUUGAAAUGUAUAUGACAUUUUCAUGGAAACAUUCUAUUUCCAUCUUCGGAGACAUAUAUGUAGGUGCUGCAUGGUUGUCGUCAGCUCGUGCCGUGAGGUGUCGGCUUAAGUGCCAUAACGAGCGCAACCCUUAUCGUUAGUUACUAACAGGUCAUGCUGAGGACUCUAGCGAGACUGCCGUCGUAAGGCGAGAGGAAGGUGGGGAUGACGUCAAAUCAGCACGGCCCUUAUAUCCGGGGCGACACACGUGUUACAAUGGUGAGGACAAAGGGUAGCUACCCGGUGACGGGAUGCCAAUCUCCAAACCUCAUCUCAGUUCGGAUUGGAGUCUGCAACUCGACUCUAUGAAGCUGGAUUCGCUAGUAAUCGCGCAUCAGCCAUGGCGCGGUGAAUACGUUCCCGGGCCUUGUACACACCGCCCGUC
This 1189-nucleotide ribosomal RNA is filed under the name Porphyromonas sp. 2033b. Its description in RNAcentral is "bacterial SSU rRNA". It matches the Rfam family "Bacterial small subunit ribosomal RNA", at positions 216 to 1398 of the family's 1533-position model. Lineage: Bacteria; Pseudomonadati; Bacteroidota; Bacteroidia; Bacteroidales; Porphyromonadaceae. The record is from RNAcentral.